This 1028-nucleotide long non-coding RNA is filed under the name Pan troglodytes (chimpanzee). Its description in RNAcentral is "long non-coding RNA NONPTRT009602". The record is from RNAcentral. Lineage: Eukaryota; Metazoa; Chordata; Mammalia; Primates; Hominidae.
UAUGAGCAUUAUGGUGUGAUUAUCAGUGUUACAUGUUAAUAGCAUGUGAGAAGCUAACAUUUGAUGGGCAUUUGCUAUGUGCCAGGAACUGACCUAAGCUAAAUCCCACAAUGAUCCUAUGAGGAGGCUGGAUGGGGACACAUACCAUGAGUGACAUCUUACCAGAGGGUGGCCAUGAACUUCAUCAUGUUCCACAACUGUUAAUGACCACUGGCGCUGGCCCUGCUGCUCUCUGAACUCCUCUCUAUGGAACUGUGCCCCUUCUCUGGGAAGAGUCCUUGAAGCUCUACUGAGAAUGAAACCUCUUCUUUCAGCUCAUGUCAAUCUUGGUAUUUUCCCAACAUGUUCAGAUUCUGGCUUGGAGGUGCUAUCUGUUGUUGACUUUGGACAUAAACGAAGCUGUUAUUUGCCUCUUUUGGUUUGUUAUGUUGACAAGCUUUUGGGAUUUGUUCUUUAAGAUUCCCCACCCCUAUUGUAUGAUGAUAGGUGCUGGAACCAGACUGGUUGGGUUCAAAUUUUUGCUGUCGCUAACUUGCUUUGUGAACACAUGUCAGUUACUGAAUCUCCCCGUGCCUCAGUUUUUUAAAUAUGUAAACAGGGAGUUCUCGUAGUACCCGUGGGUCUUAGUCAGUUAUUGCUAUAGAACCAACCACCCCCAGACUUAGUAACAUCAACAACAACUAUUGUUUUUUUCAUUCAUGCAUCUGGAGGGAGGCUGGGGAGGAGGAGGCUUGGGUUUGGCUUAUCUAGGUGGGGCUUGCUAGGCUUGGCUCUGAGCUGUGGAUUAAACACAGGUCUUCUCCAUUUGUCUUUCAUCUUCUUUGGGCCACCGGCUACAUAAGGCAUGUUCUGAUGGCAAAGAGGAGAAUUAAAGGAGAAGUCCUAUUGGCCAAAGCUGGUCAAUGGGAGAGAGAAGGGUACGCCCCUAGGGAGAGACAGAGGGGAGUGAAUUUUUGUUGAACAAUUAUCCUAACUAUCACACUGUUGUGAUAGUUAAAUGAUUUAAUAACUUUAACAGGCUAAUAACA